GAUGAACGCUAGCGGCAGGCCUAACACAUGCAAGUCGAGGGGUAGAAGGAGCUUGCUCCUUUGAGACCGGCGCACGGGUGCGUAACGCGUAUGCAAUCUACCUUUUACAGGGGAAUAGCCCAGAGAAAUUUGGAUUAAUGCCCCAUAGUAUAUAACCUUCGCAUGUUGGUUAUAUUAAAGUUCCAACGGUACAAGAUGAGCAUGCGUCCCAUUAGUUAGUUGGUAAGGUAACGGCUUACCAAGACGAUGAUGGGUAGGGGUCCUGAGAGGGAGAUCCCCCACACUGGUACUGCGACACGGACCAGACUCCUACGGGAGGGAGCAGUGAGGACUAUUGGUCACUGGUCGCAAGACUGAACCAGCCAUGCCGCGUGCAGGAAGACGGUCCUAUGGAUUGUAAACUGCUUUUAUACAGGAAGAAACCCUCCAACGGGUGGGAGCUUGACGGUACUGAAGGAAUAAGGAUCGGCUAACUCCGUG
This 480-nucleotide ribosomal RNA is filed under the name uncultured bacterium. RNAcentral describes it as "partial 16S ribosomal RNA". It matches the Rfam family "Bacterial small subunit ribosomal RNA", at positions 28 to 507 of the family's 1533-position model. The record is from RNAcentral.